UCAGGACGAACGCUGGCGGCGUGCUUAACACAUGCAAGUCGAGCGAUGAAGCUCUUCGGAAGUGGAUUAGCGGCGGACGGGUGAGUAACACGUGGGUAACCUGCCUCAUAGAGGGGAAUAGCCUUCCGAAAGGAAGAUUAAUACCGCAUAAGAUUGUAAUAUUGCAUGAUAUAGCAAUUAAAGGAGUAAUCCGCUAUGAGAUGGACCCGCGUCGCAUUAGCUAGUUGGUGAGGUAACGGCUCACCAAGGCGACGAUGCGUAGCCGACCUGAGAGGGUGAUCGGCCACAUUGGGACUGAGACACGGCCCAGACUCCUACGGGAGGCAGCAGUGGGGAAUAUUGCACAAUGGGGGGAAACCCUGAUGCAAGGCAACGCCGCGUGAGUGAUGACGGUCUUCGGAUUGUAAAGCUCUGUCUUCAGGGACGAUAAUGACGGUACCUGAGGAGGAAGCCACGGCUAACUACGUGCCAGCCGCCGC
RNAcentral lists this ribosomal RNA (479 nucleotides) under uncultured bacterium. RNAcentral describes it as "bacterial SSU rRNA". It matches the Rfam family "Bacterial small subunit ribosomal RNA", at positions 24 to 518 of the family's 1533-position model. The record is from RNAcentral.